Molecule: transfer RNA, 72 nt
Filed under: Bos taurus (domestic cattle)
Lineage: Eukaryota; Metazoa; Chordata; Mammalia; Artiodactyla; Bovidae
Also listed under: 1 other name
Rfam family: tRNA
About the family: Transfer RNA (tRNA) molecules are approximately 80 nucleotides in length.
Source: Rfam by way of RNAcentral
UCCCUGGUGGUCCAGUGGCUAAGACUCUGCACUCUCAGUGCAGGGGCCUGGGUUUGAUACCUGGUCAGGGAA